Molecule: long non-coding RNA, 1931 nt
Organism: Spinacia oleracea (spinach)
Lineage: Eukaryota; Viridiplantae; Streptophyta; Magnoliopsida; Caryophyllales; Amaranthaceae
Exons: 2
Source: RefSeq, a predicted model, not a curated record
AUACUUAUCGUGCGAUUACUGUUUAUAAUCUAAAUACUACUGAUUCUUUUGUUUAUUUAGUUAGGUUAGGUUAGCUUCUUGUUUUGAGUAAACAAAAAACUACAAUUCUUUGCAUAUGAAACUUAUUGCGAUGAGAUUAAAUACUUAGGUGUAGGAAAAAUAAAAGAAACAAUAAAGAGUAGGGAUCAGAUACUUAUCAUUUUUGCAGUAAGUGAUCUGACAAAAAAGAUAUAUAUAUAGACAGAUAGAAUAGAUUUAGAUUUAUUUGAUAUUCAUUAUACAUCUAUAACCUUUUAAAAAGUGGGAAUGGAAAUUACUGUAGCUUAUCUACAGUAAAUUAAAACGCAUCGUUUCCUUUUCCCAUGUUAUUUGCAGUUCUCUGGUAUCCUGAGUCUUCUCUUCCCUUGAAUAUCUCCUUGUUUUUCUGCCAUGGCUGGGGAGUGGUGACAGGCACAGCAACAGCCAGCAAGCACUCAUCUUGAAUUUCUCUCUCCUCCCCAACGACGAAUUUGUAAAAUCUUUCUUCUGGUAUAGGAGGCCUUGAAUUAUUCUUUUUGAUGAUGUGAGCACGCUUUCCCCAAUUGAGCUGCAAACGUUCCACAAGAUCUGCUAAGAGACGGGGAAAGGAAUCUAUCAGCUGCCAGAAUGUUAUGUACGUGCUCAUGUCUUUGUUCGUGAGCUAGAUUUUAUAUCAUCAUAGAACACAGUCAAGCAAAAGUUAUACCAAAAAGGUAGAAAUCCAAGCUGCUAAUUGCAAGGUAUUCAUAAAUGAGCAUUUUUUCCUCUCUUUCCACGCAAAAUCCCAGCACCUUAACCAAGUUUACAUGCUGAAGUUUUGCAGUGAGCAUAACUUCAUUCUUGAACUGCUCAAAUCCUUACCUUGAAGCUUUUGAAAGUCUCUUUACUGCUAUUUCCUGCCCUGUCUUUAAUUUACCCUGGAGAAACAGAUAUAUGUAUCUUAUAUGCUGUGUUUGUUUAAGUGGUGAGGGAAAUGUACUUGGUAUUGAUUUUGAAGGAUACCUUAUAAACCGGUCCAUACCCACCCUCUCCAAGCUUCUUGUAAAAUGAAAAAUUACUUGUGGCUGCUGUAAUUUCUUUGAAACUGAAUACCUUCAUGUCAGGUGAAUCAUAAGGAUUCUUUCCACCUUGCAGUUUUCAGUUAGUGAUUCAGUGACUCCCUUUCUAUCACUGUCACUAUUUGCAUCUUCGGUUCAUUCUGCUUGAUGGCAUACAUUGAUGGUUUCUUCUCAUAUGUGAUGCUGACUUCUCGAUCUUUUGCUUUGCCCCAUAGCAAUAGAUACAGACCUAUGAUGAUUGUAACUUCUACCAUGCUGAACAACCAGUGAUAAUUCAGAACAUCUAAUCUUAUUAUCUAUUCCUUAUAUGAGCACAAAGAGUGAAAGAGCAUUUUAUGAGCUAUGCUUACCUGCCCGUGUAUAGCUUUUCACCAACAAUGAAAUAUACUGGCGUAGUUAAGCAGCCUUGCUCCAAGAUAAUAGAAGAUUAUUCAUUGUAGAAACUAGAAAGGGUAGAUGAUAAAAUAGUAAUUGGGCACCAACUAUUAUUUUGCCUAACGUAUCUUACUCUUCUCAAUGUAGAUGUCUUACUUCUAAGGGGUGUGAUUUUAUGACGUAGCUUGUGAGCACAAUUGGUAGCAAUGUGAAGGAGUAAUUGGUCUUUGUACAACAUCCUGUGAUGAUACAGUAGGCCUGUUUCUCAUUAGAGAACAGCGCUGGGUGUCUACAGAGCUCUUUAAAUAGAGAGUCAGAAGGUCACUUCCUCCAUCCUAAUAUGAUAUUCAGCUUUUACACUUUGGUUUGGCAUGGAAAUUAAGACUGGAACCAACACCUUUACUAAAAGUAGUCUUUCAUUGAGCUGAUUAUCACUUGAUAUUUGAGCUGAUAAAUACAUUCCUUGUUAUUAGUGUCAAA